UACGUAGGUGACAAGCGUUGUCCGGAUUUACUGGGCGUAAAGAGCGCGCAGGCGGUCGAUCAAGUCGAGUGUGAAAGCCCCCGGCUCAACUGGGGAGGGUCAUUCGAUACUGAUCGACUCGAAGGCAGGAGAGGGUAGUGGAAUUCCCGGUGUAGUGGUGAAAUUCGUAGAUAUCAAGUGGAACACCGGUGGCGAAGGCGGCCUUCUGGACAGUGACUGACGCUGAGACGCGAAAGCGUGGGGAGCAAACAGG
RNAcentral lists this ribosomal RNA (253 nucleotides) under uncultured bacterium. RNAcentral's name for it is "partial 16S ribosomal RNA". It matches the Rfam family "Bacterial small subunit ribosomal RNA", at positions 524 to 776 of the family's 1533-position model. The record is from RNAcentral.